This 1796-nucleotide unclassified non-coding RNA is filed under the name Apis florea (little honeybee). RNAcentral describes it as "rNA-binding protein 1, transcript variant X5". Lineage: Eukaryota; Metazoa; Arthropoda; Insecta; Hymenoptera; Apidae. The record is from RNAcentral.
GUAAUGUACACCAAUGCCAUCUUAGAAAGGAGGCCACGGAAGAAGAUUAACGCUACAUACGCCACCAUUUUAUGAGCAUUUCUACUUGUGCAGUUGAAGAGAGCGCUUAUAUAUGUUACGAGAUUUUUCUAUUUAAUAAAUCAACUGAUUUGAAAACACGCAAAAUGUCACGUUAUCGUGAAUGGGAUCUUUCGUGUAAAGUUUAUGUUGGUAAUCUAGGAAAUAGUGCUAGUAAACAUGAAAUUGAAAGUGCAUUCAGUAAAUAUGGUCCACUUAGAAAUGUGUGGGUAGCUAGAAAUCCACCUGGAUUUGCUUUUGUGGAAUUUGAAGAUCCACGAGAUGCAGAAGAUGCAGUUAGAGGAUUAGAUGGAACACGCUGUUGUGGAACUAGAGUGAGGGUAGAGAUGUCUUCAGGAAGAAGUAGACGUGCAAGUGGUGGACGGAGACCAGGUCCAAGAUACUCCAGGUCCUAUUCAAGAAGUCCACGCAGAUCGCCGAUAAGCCGAUAUUCCAGAUUCUACCAGCGUCAGCUCCUAGCUCUGCUCGUCUCCCCGCCACUACUACUACUGCUACUACUACUACUACUACAGCCACCGUGAAAAAAAGUCUAGCAAUCAAAACUGAACAAAAAAAAAGCCUGCCUGCCCACUAACUUCCCAACCAGUCACCAUCAGUCACCACCAGUCACCGGUAGGAGCCAAGUCGUCCGUCAGUUGACAGUCCGAUGCUGUCCGUCAGUCCGUCAGUCCGUCUGUUCCCCUUCAAAAAGACUUCUUCGGGCUACCUCAACCUCUAGCGGCUAGGAGCAUCGUGAAUCCAUCGAACAGCCAACGCGAUAUGAACAAAUACUUCUGUCAAACUCUCGGCGCGUCAAUCCGUCCGUCCGUCCCAACUUCUACUACUACUACUACUACUACUACUGCUACUACUACUACUCGUCAACCAUCACGUUAAACUUAGCCAACAACGCGACCGCCACUUCUCUUCGACUGAGCAAAGCAAAAUGAUCACCACCUACACACCAUCCCACCACCACCCAAUCAAGUACCACCACCACCAACCACCACUACAUGUUCACAGUUAUCUGGUCAAGGUCCCGUAGCCCGCGCAGGAGAUCUCUGACCCGUAGCCGCAGCCGAGACCGCCGUUCUCGUUCGGAUUCCCGUGACAGACGUUAGGUGCUAAAAGUGUUCGAGAGAAUGGACGGACUAAAUGUGGCGGAAAGAAGGCAAAAGAAAACUGAUUUUAUAUGUACAUAAAAAAAAAAUAAUCGUUACUACACAUACAUAUUCUGUCGAAAUAAUGAUUAUAGUAAGAGAAAAAGACAUUUAUAAGAGAUACAAAAAUAACAUGUACACGUGUUUAAUAUUUAAAUUGUUAAUUUUGUGCACACAAAGCGUGUAUAAAAAUUAAACACAUACAUAUAGAAAGGUACUUGUGAACGACUACACAGGCACAAUUUCAUAUACACAUACACGUACACACAUAAUACAUAUAUUAUGCAGACGCAUACAAAAUUUUUGUGAUGUAAACCAUCGAGUGCAGUGGAUCUUUUAACAAGAUGUGCUCAUUGCUUUAAAGUGUACGAGUGAGACAAAAAAUUCCAUUGCAAUUGAGGACAAUUAUAACGAUCAACAUAAUGGUGAAUGUUUAACUGACGGUAAAAUAUGUCGACUUGGGCCAGAGACGAUUUUGGUGUGAAAUUUUGAAGAGAUAGAAAACCGUCGUUUUAUGUUGUAUUAAUUAUUUUGUACUCUUAUGAAUUUAAGACUUCAAAAUAAAAAUGUAUGCUAUAA